AACUAGGGAGUGGGAGAGGUAGACGGUACUCGGUAGGAAGGGGUAAAAUCCUUUGAUCUAUUGAUGACCACCUGUGGCGAAGGCGGUCUACCAGAACACGUUCGACGGUGAGGGAUGAAAGCUGGGGGAGCAAACCGGAUUAGAUACCCGGGUAGUCCCAGCUGUAAACGAUGCAAACUCGAUGAUGCGUUGGCUUGUUGCUAGCGCAGUGUCGCAGGGAAGCCGUUAAGUUUGCCGCCUGGGAAGUACGUACGCAAGUAUGAAACUUAAAGGAAUUGGCGGGGGAGCACCACAAGGGGUGAAGCCUGCGGUUCAAUUGGAGUCAACGCCUGAAACCUUACCCGGAGAGACAGCAGAAUGAAGGUCAAGCUGAAGACUUUACCAGACAAGCUGAGAGGUGGUGCAUGGCCGUCGCCAGCUCGUGCCGUGAGAUGUCCUGUUAAGUCAGGUAACGAGCGAGAUCCCUGCCUCUAGUUGCCACUAUUACACCCUGGUGUAGUAGGGCGAAUUAGGGGGACCGCCGCAGUUAAUGCGGAGGAAGGAAGGGGCCACGGCAGGUCAGUAUGCCCCGAAACUCUGGGGCCACACGCGGGCUGCAAUGGUAGCGACAAUGAGUUCCAAAAUCGAAAGAUAGAGGUAAUCCCUAAACGCUACCACAGUUGUGAUUGAGGGCUGCAACUCGCCCUCAUGAACAUGGAAUCCCUAGUAACCGCGUGUCAUUAUCGCGCAGUGAAUACGUCCCUGCUCCUUGCACACACCGCCCGUCGUUUCAUUGAAGUUUGCCUUUAGCGAGGUGAUGUCUAAUUGGCAUUAUCGAACUUGGGGUAAGUGACAAGGGAAAAGUCGUAACAAGGUGACCGUAGGGGAACCUGCGGUCG
Molecule: ribosomal RNA, 878 nt
Filed under: marine metagenome
Description: bacterial SSU rRNA
Rfam family: Archaeal small subunit ribosomal RNA
Source: RNAcentral